UGAUGUUCAUGAGGCUUCUCUUCUGGCAC
This 29-nucleotide non-coding RNA is filed under the name Homo sapiens (human). The record is from RNAcentral. Lineage: Eukaryota; Metazoa; Chordata; Mammalia; Primates; Hominidae.